UCCAUUUAUGUGGGGUGCACCUGCUGUGGACAGAGGAGCCACAGAUGACCUUUGUGAAGGAGGCUCAGUAAGGAGUUCUGAGGAGGAGGGGAGUGAUGACACUUGGAGUGAUUCUGAAGAAU
Long non-coding RNA from Calypte anna (Anna's hummingbird), 122 nucleotides. RefSeq lists it as uncharacterized. Lineage: Eukaryota; Metazoa; Chordata; Aves; Apodiformes; Trochilidae. The record is from RefSeq and is a predicted model, not a curated record. The transcript has 3 exons.